GAGGGUAUAGCUCAAGGGGUAGAGCACAUGCUUAGCAUGCAUGAGGUGAUGGGUUCAAUCCCCAGAACCUCU
RNAcentral lists this transfer RNA (72 nucleotides) under Camelus bactrianus (Bactrian camel). It matches the Rfam family "tRNA". Rfam says of the family: Transfer RNA (tRNA) molecules are approximately 80 nucleotides in length. Their secondary structure includes four short double-helical elements and three loops (D, anti-codon, and T loops). Further hydrogen bonds mediate the characteristic L-shaped molecular structure. tRNAs have two regions of fundamental functional importance: the anti-codon, which is responsible for specific mRNA codon recognition, and the 3' end, to which the tRNAs corresponding amino acid is attached (by aminoacyl-tRNA synthetases). tRNAs cope with the degeneracy of the genetic code in two manners: having more than one tRNA (with a specific anti-codon) for a particular amino acid; and 'wobble' base-pairing, i.e. permitting non-standard base-pairing at the 3rd anti-codon position. RNAcentral also lists the same sequence under 2 other names. The record is from Rfam by way of RNAcentral. Lineage: Eukaryota; Metazoa; Chordata; Mammalia; Artiodactyla; Camelidae.